UUACAGGAAGAACAUUUAUCAUCUAAUGUUGGAUCUAUAAAUUCCUCACCGCCAUUUUCUUUCCACAAUUCGUACGCCUGCAAUGCGCGAAACAAGAUCAAUACACCAAUUGCCUAAUAUGUCAAAGCAAGUGUAAAGAAGAAGCAAAACUCCAAAGCUAUAAACAUCAUACUUCAUGGAGUA
Non-coding RNA from Jatropha curcas, 183 nucleotides. The record is from RefSeq and is a predicted model, not a curated record. NCBI's taxonomy places the organism in Eukaryota, Viridiplantae, Streptophyta, Magnoliopsida, Malpighiales, Euphorbiaceae.